This 219-nucleotide unclassified non-coding RNA is filed under the name Hevea brasiliensis (rubber tree). Lineage: Eukaryota; Viridiplantae; Streptophyta; Magnoliopsida; Malpighiales; Euphorbiaceae. The record is from RNAcentral.
GGUUUGAUCACGAGGCCGGAAACCUCAAUGUUCUUUAUAUGUUCUUGAAUUUCCGGAUUGUCCUUCUAUCCGACGAUUGCUUGAUUCAACUUCUUCCAAGAACACAUCGACAUGAGAUUCAUAUCAAGUCAUCAGUUGAAGGCCCACACUGUGGACUGAUUCCUUUUGGUGCACCGUCAGCUAGGACCACCACUACAGGCUUGAAAUGGGAUCUCGCUG